This 24-nucleotide non-coding RNA is filed under the name Arabidopsis thaliana (thale cress). The record is from RNAcentral. Lineage: Eukaryota; Viridiplantae; Streptophyta; Magnoliopsida; Brassicales; Brassicaceae.
UCGUUGACUUGGCCAUUUUGGGCA